This 984-nucleotide long non-coding RNA is filed under the name Scophthalmus maximus (turbot). RNAcentral describes it as "lncRNA (ENSSMAG00000037191.1)". The record is from RNAcentral. Lineage: Eukaryota; Metazoa; Chordata; Actinopteri; Pleuronectiformes; Scophthalmidae.
AUGUUCCCCGUUUCAAACUUGUUUCAACCCGGAAGCUGCUGUAGAGAUGAAGGACACACUUCGGAGCUACAUGUCAAAGUGGACAGGAGAGAGAAGUCACACAGCAGCGGCGAAGUGUCGUUCACAAUGAGAGCAACAGCCAAACACAAGGUGGUGACAUCAGGGAGGCUGACGGGAGGGGUCAAAGUGCAGCCGGCCAGAAGACAAGGGACUCCAAAUCCAGGGCCGCCCGCCCGCCCCGAGCCGGCCUACUCUCUGCACUCCACAGACGCAGAGGACCAGGUCACUACUCUCCACGAGGGUCUGGACCGCUGUGCUGCCUUGCUGGGUGGCAUCCUUCAGGCUGACGCGACAGCCUCACCAAGCGUUCCUACACCAGUGACGUGUGGAGCAGCCAAAACAAGACCAUCCACCUCACUUGGGAAGAAGCCCAUGAAGAAAGUACCUAAAAUGACAGUCCAGAGGAACUCUCCGUCCUGCCCACGAGCAGCAGGCGGCACCACUCCGAGAGCAACACACGCAUCUGGCUCUCCUGCUGCACACUCAGGAGUGAAGCUGCAUCCACCUCAGGGGCACACCAGAGUCCACGUCUCCCCAGCCCAGCCCCGCACCUCCGUCCUGCAGCCUGCGCUGCAGUCGUCUCGUCAGCCGGGGCAGCAGCCGCCUCCCGGUCAGACAGAACCCUGCCCGUCACACACGCACUGUAACGCGGGAGGAGGAGGAGGAGGAGGAGGAGGAGGAGGAGGAGGAGGAGUGUGUCCCGGUGAGAGACAUCGAUACCCAGCACGCUGCCACACGCACAACUGGUGGACACGGCUGUGCCAUGGAGGUGUCAACCAUCCGUCAGGACACACACUGCGAGGGAGUGAAGACAGUUCAAUAUCUGCUGGGAGAACUCAAGGCUCUGAUCACCGGACAAGGCAGUGUUGCAGAGAGGCUGCUCAGUCACCUGGAGCAGGCCGUGUCCUCACCGCUGCUGAAUGA